RNAcentral lists this ribosomal RNA (520 nucleotides) under uncultured Glomus. RNAcentral describes it as "SSU rRNA". It matches the Rfam family "Eukaryotic small subunit ribosomal RNA", at positions 569 to 1090 of the family's 1831-position model. Lineage: Eukaryota; Fungi; Glomeromycota; Glomeromycetes; Glomerales; Glomeraceae. The record is from RNAcentral.
AGCAGCCGCGGUAAUUCCAGCUCCAAUAGCGUAUAUUAAAGUUGUUGCAGUUAAAAAGCUCGUAGUUGAAUUUCGGGACCAAUCUGCCGGUCGUGCCUCCGGUACGCACUGGUUUUAUUGGUUUCUCCCUUCUGACGAACCAUGAUGUCAUUAAUUUGGUGUCAUGGGGAAUCAGGACUGUUACUUUGAAAAAAUUAGAGUGUUUAUAGCAGGCUCACGCUUGAACACAUUAGCAUGGAAUAAUGAAAUAGGACGUUUGACCCUAUUUUGUUGGUUUCUAGGAUCGACGUAAUGAUUAAUAGGGAUAGUUGGGGGCAUUAGUAUUCAAUUGUCAGAGGUGAAAUUCUUGGAUUUAUUGAAGACUAACUACUGCGAAAGCAUUUGCCAAGGAUGUUUUCAUUAAUCAAGAACGAAAGUUAGGGGAUCGAAGACGAUCAGAUACCGCCGUAGUCUUAACCAUAAACUAUGCCGACUAGGGAUCGGAUGAUGUUAAUUUUUUAAUGACUCAUUCGGCGCCUUA